Molecule: long non-coding RNA, 1116 nt
Filed under: Betta splendens (Siamese fighting fish)
Lineage: Eukaryota; Metazoa; Chordata; Actinopteri; Anabantiformes; Osphronemidae
Description: lncRNA (ENSBSLG00000019358.1)
Source: RNAcentral
CGCGUCAUCAGCGUUUCUGUGGGCGACGAUCGGAUCAGAAACGCGCGCGGCGGGGGAGGGCGGUGCGGGACGAGGCCCGCAGCUCUUACUGGACGCCCGCCGUCAAAUCACAGCGUGAGUGCAAAAUCGAUACGUCGUCAAUCCCUCGCCGAGACUGGAGACGUUUCAUCUCCUCCUCGCUCUCGUGGCAGGAUAAUUAUUUGUAUUUAUGCACCGCUGUGUAAUUGGAGCCGUGUGUCUGGGGUUGGUGAACAGGGAGCCGCGCAUAUUCAAACUGACAAUUAUGAGAUAUUAUGAAAUUAUCUAUAAACUCAAAUGCACUUCUGGCAAUUAUUCUGUGUUCCUGCCUGCUCAGCUAAUGAUCAGGUCCCGGAUCAUGAUCGACUAGUGUGUCAAGGAGCAGCAGCGGCCUUCCGUGCUGCCUGAGCAUCAUUUGCUGCUGUAUAUCGAGUCUCCUCGUUCUCUGCUCGUCUACCUGUUUGUUUAAAUCCAUUUAUUUUGCCUAAUUGCGCCGUCCCGCCGCGUCUCUGUUCGCGUUCUCCUCGUUUCCUGACCCCCCCCCCCUCACCUUUGCCCCCUCCCGCCUCCCCGCUGACAGCUGGAUUACCAUGUAUCCACGCGGCGCCAGAGGCCCAAACAACAUCGCGCUUCGCCUCGCGCUUGGCCGCUGCAGCACCACGGAGGCCAAAAGUGGAGGACAGCGAGUACAAAAGAGGCAACCGGAGACAAGGUGUCGAGGGGUCGAUGCCUCUGUAUGCGAACUGGUGCUGUGGAAGGUGGGCAGGUGUUGACGGGUGGUCUUCAGAUACAGGGAUGAGACUCGUGUUCAUGACACGCCUGUACAGAUUUAAAAGUUUUAUAUUUACCCCGUGUUUAUUGCUGUAGUGCCGGAGCACAGCUAGCAUACACAAAUAUACUUAGCAGCGCUUCUCUCCCCGCGGACACAUAUUGAGCAGAACCAAAACAAGUGGUGGUGCUGGUGAAAGCCCCGAGGCAGCGCCAGACAAACAAGGAGAGCGGCGUCUGCGGCAUACUGAGCGGGCCUUGGGCCUGGGCCCGGGCUCGCGUCUAAUUAUUAACAAUAAAUAUCUGAGGCGGUGUGAUGUGGUGGACGGC